AUUUUUUUCAUUCGGACGUGUUCAUGGACGAUUUCUUGUAAAAUUGUGUGAUAGGAUUGAGUUUCUCGUAUCAUCAGAUUCGCACGAUAUGAUACUAAUGCUGAAUGCUCCUGCGAAAUUUACCGCAAACUUUUGUGCAGGACCAGGUUGUAUGAUUGUUGGAGUAUCAGCUAGAGGAUGUAGCCGUCGUUAUCUGUAUUGCAAUGGUUACCAUGUCCGCGUUGUACUGUCCAAAUGGCAAAUUAAUAGCCACUAAUUCGUCCAACAGAACAAUUUUUGUAUGGAAACAUUUUCAUUUACAUCUUUCAGACAACGUCUGUGGCAAUUUGGCAUCAAUGAUUUUUCAGCAAUAUCGUAUCAAAAACUGUUGCAGAUCAAUGCUUGAUUGGCUAAUUCCGCUACAUUCUAGAGCGAGGAGGUCUGAAGAAAAUUUUCACCGACUAUAACCGGCUAGAUCAGACAGAUCUAGCCGAAAUACAAAAGCCCCGAUGAAGAUUUCGCCGCUCGCCCAACAAUAAAAUUGCAUUGGCAAAGCGAGCUGUAUAAUGUGAUGAGGAUUUUUAUGCUAUUGUCAUUUACUUCUAGAUGCCAUUGAUAUAAGUUACUAUUUGAAUAUUACCAUUGAAGCUGUUAAUUUUCGGUGACAAAGAUCAUCCUUUGCUUUUUAUAAAUCAAACGAGUCGGCAAUCUCUUUUAUGAAUAUAGAAAACGUGCCAUGGGUCAGUGAAACUAUGUAGCUCUUGCAUGUUGGUAGCGAGGAUUUAACC
Long non-coding RNA from Topomyia yanbarensis, 767 nucleotides. RefSeq lists it as uncharacterized. The record is from RefSeq and is a predicted model, not a curated record. The transcript has 3 exons. NCBI's taxonomy places the organism in Eukaryota, Metazoa, Arthropoda, Insecta, Diptera, Culicidae.